AUGUAUCAACAAUAUAUAAACAAUCAAGGGACGAUCUAGAGGACGAUCUUCCUGACUCAUCUCUACAGUCUUCGUUCGUAUAAGCAACCUUCCAGACGUGUUCGAACCUGUUCCUGCUUCUUCAAUUUCAGUUAUUAUUCAUCAUAUUGGCCAAUAUAAUAUUCAUCAAUUCGUUUGGAUGCCUACACAUUUAAUAGCAGUUAUCAUAUACUUCCUGCUGCUCUUCGUAUAUAGGAUGUAUCAACAAUAUGUAAACAAUCAAGGGACGGUCUAGAGGACGAUCUUCCUGACUCAUCUCUACAGUUUUCGUUCGUAUAAGCAACCUUCCAGACGUGUUCGAACCUGUUCCUGCUUCUUCAAUUUCAGUUAUUAAUUAUCAUAUUGGCCAAUAUAAUAUUCAUCAAUUCGUUUGGACGCCUACACAUUUGAUAGGAGUUAUCAUAUACUUCCUGCUG
Molecule: long non-coding RNA, 455 nt
Organism: Vespula pensylvanica (western yellowjacket)
Lineage: Eukaryota; Metazoa; Arthropoda; Insecta; Hymenoptera; Vespidae
Exons: 4
Source: RefSeq, a predicted model, not a curated record